Molecule: small RNA, 88 nt
Organism: Roseburia sp. CAG:309
Lineage: Bacteria; Bacillati; Bacillota; Clostridia; Lachnospirales; Lachnospiraceae
Rfam family: GA-cis RNA
Source: Rfam
GAGAGGAGGCGCUCACAAGAACGAAGUUCUUGUUUUUCAUAGUGCCGACGACUUGCCGCCGAACGGAAGUGAGGGGGCGUUACCUUAA